Colossoma macropomum (tambaqui) is the source of this 211-nucleotide long non-coding RNA. RefSeq lists it as uncharacterized. The record is from RefSeq and is a predicted model, not a curated record. NCBI's taxonomy places the organism in Eukaryota, Metazoa, Chordata, Actinopteri, Characiformes, Serrasalmidae. The transcript is spliced from 3 exons.
UAUCAUUUGGAUGUUGGAGAUGAGCCUCGUUACAGAACGGCUGCUGGGAUGAGGUCAUUGAGAAUGGCUCCUCCUCUUCCUCUGAUCUUUCUGCUCAUGAUUGUUGGAGCUUUUGGAACAGAGUGGAGUGUGAAGUACAACCAACAGGAAAUAUGUGCUUUAAAAGGAUCCACAGUGUUUAUGAAUGGAACUUAUACUCACCCAAAAAAUC